UACGAAGGGGGCUAGCGUUGUUCGGAAUUACUGGGCGUAAAGCGCGCGCAGGCGGUCUUCCAAGUCAGUGGUGAAAGCCUGGAGCUCAACUCCAGAACUGCCAUUGAAACUGUUAGACUUGAGUACGAGAGAGGCGAGUGGAAUUCCUGGUGUAGCGGUGGAAUGCGCAGAUAUCAGGAGGAACACCAAUAGCGAAGGCAGCUCGCUGGGACGUUACUGACACUGAGGCGCGAAAGCGUGGGGAGCGAACAGG
Molecule: ribosomal RNA, 253 nt
Filed under: uncultured bacterium
Lineage: Bacteria
Description: partial 16S ribosomal RNA
Rfam family: Bacterial small subunit ribosomal RNA
Source: RNAcentral